AUUGAACGCUGGCGGAAUGCUUUACACAUGCAAGUCGAACGGCAGCACGGACUUCGGUCUGGUGGCGAGUGGCGAACGGGUGAGUAAUGUAUCGGAACGUGCCCAGUCGUGGGGGAUAACGUAGUGAAAAUUACGCUAAUACCGCAUACGAUCUAUGGAUGAAAGCGGGGGAUAGCAAGACCUCGCGCGAUUCGAGCGGCCGAUAUCAGAUUAGGUAGUUGGUGGGGUAAAGGCCCACCAAGCCAACGAUCUGUAGCUGGUCUGAGAGGACGACCAGCCACACUGGAACUGAGACACGGUCCAGACUCCUACGGGAGGCAGCAGUGGGGAAUUUUGGACAAUGGGCGAAAGCCUGAUCCAGCCAUUCCGCGUGCAGGAUGAAGGCCCUCGGGUUGUAAACUGCUUUUGUACAGAACGAAAAGGUUUCUACUAAUACUAGGAGCUCAUGACGGUACUGUAAGAAUAAGCACCGGCUAACUACGUGCCAGCAGCCGCCGUAA
This 500-nucleotide ribosomal RNA is filed under the name uncultured bacterium. RNAcentral describes it as "partial 16S ribosomal RNA". It matches the Rfam family "Bacterial small subunit ribosomal RNA", at positions 30 to 523 of the family's 1533-position model. The record is from RNAcentral.